GGUUAAUGCUAGCGGUGCGCCUAACACAUGCAAGUCGAGCGGAUGAGAGGAGCUUGCUCCUCGAUUCAGCGGCGGACGGGUGAGUAAUGCCUAGGAAUCUGCCUAGUAGUGGGGGACAACGUUUCGAAAGGAACGCUAAUACCGCAUACGUCCUACGGGAGAAAGUGGGGGAUCUUCGGACCUCACGCUAUUAGAUGAGCCUAGGUCGGAUUAGCUAGUUGGUAGGGUAACGGCCUACCAAGGCGACGAUCCGUAACUGGUCUGAGAGGAUGAUCAGUCACACUGGAACGGAGACACGGUCCAGACUCCUACGGGAGGCAGCAGUGGGGAAUAUUGGACAAUGGGCGAAAGCCUGAUCCAGCCAUGCCGCGUGUGUGAAGAAGGCCCUCGGGUCGUAAAGCACUUUAAGUUGGGAGGAAGGGCUUACAGCGAAUACCUGUGAGUUUUGACGUUACCGACAGAAUAAGCACCGGCUAACUUCGUGCCAGCAGCCGCGGUAA
This 500-nucleotide ribosomal RNA is filed under the name uncultured bacterium. Its description in RNAcentral is "partial 16S ribosomal RNA". It matches the Rfam family "Bacterial small subunit ribosomal RNA", at positions 28 to 523 of the family's 1533-position model. The record is from RNAcentral.